GAUGAACGCUGGCGGCGUGCUUAACACAUGCAAGUCGAACGAAGCACUUUAUUUGAUUUCCUUCGGGAUUGAUUAUUUUGUGACUGAGUGGCGGACGGGUGAGUAACGCGUGGGUAACCUGCCUUGUACAGGGGGAUAACAGUUGGAAACGGCUGCUAAUACCGCAUAAGCGCACGGCAUCGCAUGAUGCAGUGUGAAAAACUCCGGUGGUAUAAGAUGGACCCGCGUUGGAUUAGCUAGUUGGUGAGGUAACGGCCCACCAAGGCGACGAUCCAUAGCCGACCUGAGAGGGUGACCGGCCACAUUGGGACUGAGACACGGCCCAAACUCCUACGGGAGGCAGCAGUGGGGAAUAUUGCACAAUGGGCGAAAGCCUGAUGCAGCGACGCCGCGUGAGCGAAGAAGCAUUUCGGUAUGUAAAGCUCUAUCAGCAGGGAAGAUAAUGACGGU
RNAcentral lists this ribosomal RNA (450 nucleotides) under uncultured bacterium. RNAcentral describes it as "bacterial SSU rRNA". It matches the Rfam family "Bacterial small subunit ribosomal RNA", at positions 28 to 458 of the family's 1533-position model. The record is from RNAcentral.